CAAGUCGAACGAGAAAGGGGAGCAAUCCCUGAGUACAGUGGCGUACGGGUGAGUAACACGUGGAUGAUCUACCCCUUAGUUUGGAAUAACCAUGGGAAACCGUGGCUAAUACCGGAUAAGCUCGAGAGAGGAAAGCAGCAAUGCGCUGAGGGAGGAGUCCGCGGCCGAUUAGCUAGUUGGGAGGGUAAAAGCCUACCAAGGCAAAGAUCGGUAGCCGGCCUGAGAGGGCACACGGCCACACUGGCACUGAAACACGGGCCAGACUCCUACGGGAGGCAGCAGUGGGGAAUCUUGCACAAUGGGGGCAACCCUGAUGCAGCGACGCCGCGUGAGCGAUGAAGCCCUUCGGGGUGUAAAGCUCUUUCGGCAGGGAAGAUGGUGACGGUACCUGCAGAAGCAGCUGCGGCUAACUACGUGCCAGCAGCCGCGGUAAUACGUAGGCAGCAAGCGUUGUUCGGAGUUACUGGGCGUAAAGGGUGUGUAGGCGGUUUUUUAAGUUUGGUGUGAAAUCUCCCGGCUCAACUGGGAGGGUGCGCCGAAUACUGAAAGACUAGAGUGCGGGAGAGGAAAGUGGAAUUCCUGGUGUAGCGGUGAAAUGCGUAGAUAUCAGGAGGAACACCGGUGGUGUAGACGGCUUUCUGGACCGUAACUGACGCUGAGACACGAAAGCGUGGGUAGCAAACAGGAUUAGAUACCCUGGUAGUCCACGCCCUAAACGAUGCAUAUUUGGUGUGGGCAGUUCAUUCUGUCCGUGCCGGAGCUAACGCGUUAAAUAUGCCGCCUGGGGAGUACAGUCGCAAGGCUGAAACUCAAAGGAAUUGACGGGGGCCCGCACAAGCGGUGGAGCAUGUGGUUCAAUUCGACGCACCGCGA
Molecule: ribosomal RNA, 873 nt
Filed under: uncultured Bacillota bacterium
Lineage: Bacteria; Bacillati; Bacillota
Description: bacterial SSU rRNA
Rfam family: Bacterial small subunit ribosomal RNA
Source: RNAcentral